UUUUUUUCACCUACCUGAGGUUUUUCUUGAGGUUUUGGUAAAAGUGGCUUCCCAUCUUUAUCCUGCAGAGAACACAGGCUACUAGUUAACCAUUACUGUGCUAUAUGUAUGCUGUUGCAAUUCUCUAAAAUGUAUACACAUUUAUCGUGUGGUCAGUUCGAAAGUCAGCACUGUGCCCCAUCUGAACAGGCACAGAACUUUAAUAUAGUUUUUACCGAUGUUGGGGGACUGCUUUUGUUUUUUGAUUUUCUUUACCAACUGCAGGCUCUAAAUGGAUUGCCUCCAUUCCUUCUCAGACAAAGAACAUCUUGCUAUGCUGAAUCAUGCCUUCCAUGACCUCCAAACUGGACUGCAGUGACGAGCAACAAGUGGCCCUUUAGAUACUGUGGCCUGUAAUUCCCAUCGGCCUAAGGCUACACUGCCAAUGCUGAGGGGUAAUGGAAGUAGUGGGCCAAAACCCCUGGAGUACUGCACUGACGACUCUACCAGUCCAAAUACACCCACUGGAAAACUAUGCAUUGUCUGUCACAUGGAGGGGCAGUGAAAGGCAAGUGUCAUGAUGUCACAUCACCCAUCUUCCUCAAUGGCACAUCAUCAGCGGAAUGCAAGCCAGUGCUGUUUGUUCAUCUCUAUGAUAACAUGUGGUUUGGGCCUCAGAAAAUCUCACACUGGAACAAUACAAACCUGGAAUGAGUGUUUCCUCUCAGCAAACAUUAUCAAAAAAAACCAAGAGGGAACUCUAGUGUCACACAGCUCUGAGAAAGAAGGAAGGUUUUGUCUCCUUGGAAAGAAACAGACAGUUGCAAGGGGUGGGGGGGCUCUUACCCCCUUGCUCUCCCUUGUCAAUGCUGGUCUGAGUAUAGGAGAAAGUAGUCAUGCAUUCUCUCCUGUUGUUUUGGGUCCCUGUUCCUCAGCUGUUUGCCAGCACAGGCAUCAAAGAAGCAAUUUCCCAUUCUUGGCUUCUCUCAUCCUAAGUACCUUAACCUCUUUUGUGUAACUAGUUGAUCCUGGUUUGCUGCUCUUGGAUAUGUCUUCCCUUGUCAAGAGUGAGCACUGACUGAACUGCCCUCAUCAAAGCAACCCAGUAUUAAUUAGCUCUCUUAUGGUGGGCCCAGUAUGGCAAAAUUUAUGGACACCCAGCAUGGCAGAACACUCUUAAGAUAUGAAAUACACCCAAUUUAAUUUCAUUUAAUUUCCUAAGAUGUGGGGAGCGGGGAGACAAACUUAUAGCAAACUUAUUAGAAAAUUACCAAGACUGGUUUUAAUCUGUACUCUGGAGGAAUUGUAUCAUCACGUUCACCCGCUUUCUUCUCCUUUCUUUCUUUGGCCUUUGGCUGAAUAAAGAGAAUCACAAUGUAUUAACGAAAA
Varanus komodoensis (Komodo dragon) is the source of this 1368-nucleotide long non-coding RNA. RefSeq lists it as uncharacterized. The record is from RefSeq and is a predicted model, not a curated record. The transcript has 2 exons. Lineage: Eukaryota; Metazoa; Chordata; Lepidosauria; Squamata; Varanidae.